This 433-nucleotide ribosomal RNA is filed under the name uncultured bacterium. RNAcentral's name for it is "partial 16S ribosomal RNA". It matches the Rfam family "Bacterial small subunit ribosomal RNA", at positions 29 to 506 of the family's 1533-position model. The record is from RNAcentral.
AGCGAACGCUGGCGGCAGGCCUAACACAUGCAAGUCGAACGAACCUUUCGGGGUUAGUGGCGGACGGGUGAGUAACACGUGGGAACGUGCCUUUAGGUUCGGAAUAACUCAGGGAAACUUGUGCUAAUACCGAAUGUGCCCUUCGGGGGAAAGAUUUAUCGCCUUUAGAGCGGCCCGCGUCUGAUUAGCUAGUUGGUUGAGGUAAUGGCUCACCAAGGCGACGAUCAGUAGCUGGUCUGGGAGGAGGAUCAGCCACAUUGGGACUGAGACACGGCCCAAAACCCUCCGGGGGGAGCCGGGGGGGAUUUUUGCGAAUUGGGCGAAACCCUAACCCCGCCCUGCCCGGUAAAUGAUAAGGGUCUUAGGAUUUAAAAAUUUUUUCCCCGGGGACGAUAAUGACGUUCCCCGGAAAAAAAGCCCCGGCUAACUUCUU